GUUAGGAAUAUUGGACAAUGGGCGCAAGCCUGAUCCAGCCAUGCCGCGUGAGUGAUGAAGGCCUUCGGGUUGUAAAGCUCUUUAGUCCACGAAUAUAAUGACUGUAGUGGAAGAAUAAGCCCCGGCUAACUUCGUGCCAGCAGCCGCGGUAAUACGAAGGGGGCGAGCGUUAUUCGGAAUCACUGGGCGUAAAGCGUGCGUAGGCUGUUUUGUAAGUCAGAAGUGAAAGCCCAGGGCUUAACCCUGGAAUUGCUUUUGAAACUACAAGACUCGAAUUCGGGAGAGGAUAGCGGAAUUGUCAGUGUAGCAGUGAAAUGCGUAGAUAUUGACAGGAACACCAGUGGCGCAAGCGGCUAUCUGGACCGAUAUUGACGCUGAGGCACGAAAGCGUGGGGAGCAAACAGGAUUAGAUACCCUGGUAGUCC
Molecule: ribosomal RNA, 425 nt
Filed under: uncultured bacterium
Lineage: Bacteria
Description: bacterial SSU rRNA
Rfam family: Bacterial small subunit ribosomal RNA
Source: RNAcentral